This 322-nucleotide ribosomal RNA is filed under the name uncultured eukaryote. Its description in RNAcentral is "partial 18S ribosomal RNA". It matches the Rfam family "Eukaryotic small subunit ribosomal RNA", at positions 1470 to 1796 of the family's 1831-position model. The record is from RNAcentral.
CCCUUAGAUGUUCUGGGCCGCACGCGUGCUACACUGAGUGGAUCAGCGGGUCAGGUUGCACGAAAGUGUUUCCUAAUCUUGAAAUCCGCUCGUGAUGGGGAUUGACGGUUGCAAUUUUCCGUCAUGAACGAGGAAUACCUUGUAAGCGCGGGUCAUCAUCCCGCGCUGAAUACGUCCCUGCCCUUUGUACACACCGCCCGUCGCUCCUACCGAUUGAGUGGUCCGGUGAGGCUUUGGGAUCUGAGCGGAAAGAGCGUUUCGCUGUUUCUGCUCGGAAAACUCAGUCGAACCUUAUCAUUUAGAGGAAGGAGAAGUCGUAACA